Molecule: long non-coding RNA, 429 nt
Filed under: Apteryx owenii (little spotted kiwi)
Lineage: Eukaryota; Metazoa; Chordata; Aves; Apterygiformes; Apterygidae
Description: lncRNA (ENSAOWG00000007033.1)
Source: RNAcentral
CUUGCCCUGAUUGCCUUGACACACUUUAACCUUCUGUGGAUUAAGAACCUAGUACUGUCCUGUAGCCAUGCAGGCCGAUUGCUAGGCAGCAGGUGCUUUUCUACAAAAGGAUGCCAUGGUUGUGCUCUGCAAGGUGUCUGUUCCUGGGGCAAACAGCCGUGUAAAUCCCUAAAACAGCCAAAGGUGGGAGAAGAGAGAAAUGCAUCCAACUGCCAGAGGUUAUCCUGAGCCCACGGGGUCGUGAAGAGAAAAAGGCUUGAAGUCUCUCCUCCUCUUCCUCCCUCCGCCACAGUUUGAUGUUCCAGGUCGUCUGUGCUGUGACAGAUAACACCAUGCCCAGGGCGGUCAGGAGAGCUAGCGGUCCCCGUGCAGAGUCCUCGCCGAAAACAGGUUUUUGUGGAACUACUGUUUUUUGUGUCCUUAGUGAAG